AGACGAGGAGCUUGCUCCUCUGACGUUAGCGGCGGACGGGUGAGUAACACGUGGAUAACCUACCUAUAAGACUGGGAUAACUUCGGGAAACCGGAGCUAAUACCGGAUAAUAUAUUGAACCGCAUGGUUCAAUAGUGAAAGACGGUUUUGCUGUCACUUAUAGAUGGAUCCGCGCCGCAUUAGCUAGUUGGUAAGGUAACGGCUUACCAAGGCAACGAUGCGUAGCCGACCUGAGAGGGUGAUCGGCCACACUGGAACUGAGACACGGUCCAGACUCCUACGGGAGGCAGCAGUAGGGAAUCUUCCGCAAUGGGCGAAAGCCUGACGGAGCAACGCCGCGUGAGUGAUGAAGGUCUUCGGAUCGUAAAACUCUGUUAUUAGGGAAGAACAAAUGUGUAAGUAACUAUGCACGUCUUGACGGUACCUAAUCAGAAAGCCACGGCUAACUACGUGCCAGCAGCCGCGGUAAUACGUAGGUGGCAAGCGUUAUCCGGAAUUAUUGGGCGUAAAGCGCGCGUAGGCGGUUUUUUAAGUCUGAUGUGAAAGCCCACGGCUCAACCGUGGAGGGUCAUUGGAAACUGGAAAACUUGAGUGCAGAAGAGGAAAGUGGAAUUCCAUGUGUAGCGGUGAAAUGCGCAGAGAUAUGGAGGAACACCAGUGGCGAAGGCGACUUUCUGGUCUGUAACUGACGCUGAUGUGCGAAAGCGUGGGGAUCAAACAGGAUUAGAUACCCUGGUAGUCCACGCCGUAAAACGAUGAGUGCUAAAGUGUUAGGGGGUUUCCGCCCCUUAGUGCUGCAGCUAACGCAUUAAGCACUCCGCCUGGGGAGUACGACCGCAAGGUUGAAACUCAAAGGAAUUGACGGGGACCCGCACAAGCGGUGGAGCAUGUGGUUUAAUUCGAAGCAACGCGAAGAACCUUACCAAAUCUUGACAUCCUCUGACCCCUCUAGAGAUAGAGUUUUCCCCUUCGGGGGACAAGUGACGGGCUGGUUGCAUGGUUGUCGUCAGCUGUCGUGAGAGUUGGGUUAAUCCCGCAACGAGCGCACCCUUAAGCUUAGUUGCCAUUAGUUGGGCACUCUAAGUGACUCCGGGACACCGGAGGAAGGUGGGGAUAACGUAAAUCUCAGCCCCUUAUGAAUUGGCUACACUGCUACAUGACAAUCAAGGACGAAACCCGAGUCAGACAUCCUAUAAUGUUCUCC
RNAcentral lists this ribosomal RNA (1204 nucleotides) under uncultured bacterium. RNAcentral's name for it is "bacterial SSU rRNA". It matches the Rfam family "Bacterial small subunit ribosomal RNA", at positions 69 to 1288 of the family's 1533-position model. The record is from RNAcentral.